Molecule: ribosomal RNA, 2930 nt
Filed under: Escherichia coli O26 str. RM10386
Lineage: Bacteria; Pseudomonadati; Pseudomonadota; Gammaproteobacteria; Enterobacterales; Enterobacteriaceae
Description: bacterial LSU rRNA
Rfam family: Bacterial large subunit ribosomal RNA
Source: RNAcentral
GGGUUGUGAGGUUAAGCGACUAAGCGUACACGGUGGAUGCCCUGGCAGUCAGAGGCGAUGAAGGACGUGCUAAUCUGCGAUAAGCGUCGGUAAGGUGAUAUGAACCGUUAUAACCGGCGAUUUCCGAAUGGGGAAACCCAGUGUGUUUCGACACACUAUCAUUAACUGAAUCCAUAGGUUAAUGAGGCGAACCGGGGGAACUGAAACAUCUAAGUACCCCGAGGAAAAGAAAUCAACCGAGAUUCCCCCAGUAGCGGCGAGCGAACGGGGAGCAGCCCAGAGCCUGAAUCAGUAUGUGUGUUAGUGGAAGCGUCUGGAAAGGCGCGCGAUACAGGGUGACAGCCCCGUACACAAAAAUGCACAUGCUGUGAGCUCGAUGAGUAGGGCGGGACACGUGGUAUCCUGUCUGAAUAUGGGGGGACCAUCCUCCAAGGCUAAAUACUCCUGACUGACCGAUAGUGAACCAGUACCGUGAGGGAAAGGCGAAAAGAACCCCGGCGAGGGGAGUGAAAAAGAACCUGAAACCGUGUACGUACAAGCAGUGGGAGCACGCUUAGGCGUGUGACUGCGUACCUUUUGUAUAAUGGGUCAGCGACUUAUAUUCUGUAGCAAGGUUAACCGAAUAGGGGAGCCGAAGGGAAACCGAGUCUUAACUGGGCGUUAAGUUGCAGGGUAUAGACCCGAAACCCGGUGAUCUAGCCAUGGGCAGGUUGAAGGUUGGGUAACACUAACUGGAGGACCGAACCGACUAAUGUUGAAAAAUUAGCGGAUGACUUGUGGCUGGGGGUGAAAGGCCAAUCAAACCGGGAGAUAGCUGGUUCUCCCCGAAAGCUAUUUAGGUAGCGCCUCGUGAAUUCAUCUCCGGGGGUAGAGCACUGUUUCGGCAAGGGGGUCAUCCCGACUUACCAACCCGAUGCAAACUGCGAAUACCGGAGAAUGUUAUCACGGGAGACACACGGCGGGUGCUAACGUCCGUCGUGAAGAGGGAAACAACCCAGACCGCCAGCUAAGGUCCCAAAGUCAUGGUUAAGUGGGAAACGAUGUGGGAAGGCCCAGACAGCCAGGAUGUUGGCUUAGAAGCAGCCAUCAUUUAAAGAAAGCGUAAUAGCUCACUGGUCGAGUCGGCCUGCGCGGAAGAUGUAACGGGGCUAAACCAUGCACCGAAGCUGCGGCAGCGACGCUGAUGCGUUGUUGGGUAGGGGAGCGUUCUGUAAGCCUGCGAAGGUGUGCUGUGAGGCAUGCUGGAGGUAUCAGAAGUGCGAAUGCUGACAUAAGUAACGAUAAAGCGGGUGAAAAGCCCGCUCGCCGGAAGACCAAGGGUUCCUGUCCAACGUUAAUCGGGGCAGGGUGAGUCGACCCCUAAGGCGAGGCCGAAAGGCGUAGUCGAUGGGAAACAGGUUAAUAUUCCUGUACUUGGUGUUACUGCGAAGGGGGACGGAGAAGGCUAUGUUGGCCGGGCGACGGUUGUCCCGGUUUAAGCGUGUAGGCUGGUUUUCCAGGCAAAUCCGGAAAAUCAAGGCUGAGGCGUGAUGACGAGGCACUACGGUGCUGAAGCAACAAAUGCCCUGCUUCCAGGAAAAGCCUCUAAGCAUCAGGUAACAUCAAAUCGUACCCCAAACCGACACAGGUGGUCAGGUAGAGAAUACCAAGGCGCUUGAGAGAACUCGGGUGAAGGAACUAGGCAAAAUGGUGCCGUAACUUCGGGAGAAGGCACGCUGAUAUGUAGGUGAAGUCCCUCGCGGAUGGAGCUGAAAUCAGUCGAAGAUACCAGCUGGCUGCAACUGUUUAUUAAAAACACAGCACUGUGCAAACACGAAAGUGGACGUAUACGGUGUGACGCCUGCCCGGUGCCGGAAGGUUAAUUGAUGGGGUUAGCGCAAGCGAAGCUCUUGAUCGAAGCCCCGGUAAACGGCGGCCGUAACUAUAACGGUCCUAAGGUAGCGAAAUUCCUUGUCGGGUAAGUUCCGACCUGCACGAAUGGCGUAAUGAUGGCCAGGCUGUCUCCACCCGAGACUCAGUGAAAUUGAACUCGCUGUGAAGAUGCAGUGUACCCGCGGCAAGACGGAAAGACCCCGUGAACCUUUACUAUAGCUUGACACUGAACAUUGAGCCUUGAUGUGUAGGAUAGGUGGGAGGCUUUGAAGUGUGGACGCCAGUCUGCAUGGAGCCGACCUUGAAAUACCACCCUUUAAUGUUUGAUGUUCUAACGUUGACCCGUAAUCCGGGUUGCGGACAGUGUCUGGUGGGUAGUUUGACUGGGGCGGUCUCCUCCUAAAGAGUAACGGAGGAGCACGAAGGUUGGCUAAUCCUGGUCGGACAUCAGGAGGUUAGUGCAAUGGCAUAAGCCAGCUUGACUGCGAGCGUGACGGCGCGAGCAGGUGCGAAAGCAGGUCAUAGUGAUCCGGUGGUUCUGAAUGGAAGGGCCAUCGCUCAACGGAUAAAAGGUACUCCGGGGAUAACAGGCUGAUACCGCCCAAGAGUUCAUAUCGACGGCGGUGUUUGGCACCUCGAUGUCGGCUCAUCACAUCCUGGGGCUGAAGUAGGUCCCAAGGGUAUGGCUGUUCGCCAUUUAAAGUGGUACGCGAGCUGGGUUUAGAACGUCGUGAGACAGUUCGGUCCCUAUCUGCCGUGGGCGCUGGAGAACUGAGGGGGGCUGCUCCUAGUACGAGAGGACCGGAGUGGACGCAUCACUGGUGUUCGGGUUGUCAUGCCAAUGGCACUGCCCGGUAGCUAAAUGCGGAAGAGAUAAGUGCUGAAAGCAUCUAAGCACGAAACUUGCCCCGAGAUGAGUUCUCCCUGACUCCUUGAGAGUCCUGAAGGAACGUUGAAGACGACGACGUUGAUAGGCCGGGUGUGUAAGCGCAGCGAUGCGUUGAGCUAACCGGUACUAAUGAACCGUGAGGCUUAACCUUACAACGCCGAAGGUGUUU